This is a long non-coding RNA of Papaver somniferum (opium poppy), 1893 nucleotides long. RefSeq lists it as uncharacterized. The record is from RefSeq and is a predicted model, not a curated record. The transcript has 2 exons. Lineage: Eukaryota; Viridiplantae; Streptophyta; Magnoliopsida; Ranunculales; Papaveraceae.
UCUAAGAUAAAACAUUUUUAUAAACCCCUUUAACCUUAUCAAAAACUAACAGUCUGGCUUCGUCUUCUUCAAAGAGCCACUUUUGUUCACGAGAUAGAAAUUGAAAGGAUUCAGUUAAGUCUUAAUUUGUAGUGAUUGUUCAUGGCGAUUGUUGCUGCUUCGGUGUGAUCGAUUGAUUCGAUAUUUGAGUAGUUGUCGUAUGUUGUAGAUCUGAAAUGUUAAAUUGUUUCAAUUGGAAUACAUGGUGGUGGUGCAAUUAGUUCAGAAAGUGAUGUCGAUGUCCUCGAUUUGGUGAUGAAUCAAGUGGAUUUAAGAAGUUCUAGAAUUUGUAAGGAUUUAAAAUGAUUGGGUUUGUUCCAAACUCUAAUUAUCAGUGAAGGAGGAGAUGGGUUAGAAGAGACUUUGAGGAUGGUGGCUGCUGUUGAUGGAGCCGUUGAAUUAAAGUUAGUAGUCGGAUACCAAUUUUGAUCUGCUUAUUUAUGGAGUCGCAGUGGUGGGGUCGAUUGGUGUUUCAGGGAAGUUGUAAAAAUGAAUUGCUUCAGGUUAGUACUUAAAUGGAAUGGUGUGUGGAGUGUCGUUGGUGAAUGGUGCGAUACUUUUGGAUGUUUGUUGGUGCUGCUUCUCUAAGCUGGGUAGACAAUUGAAUGGCAGUGGAGGUUAGGCUUUGGGUUGAUUUUUGUAAUAAAUGGAUUAUAUCAAUGGAUGUUUUAGAAUCAGGGGUUUUGGGUGUCUAUUCAACUCAAAUUUACAGGGAAGAAAAGCUUUAAAAUUAGGCACUAAGUGUCGUUAUGAAUCAACUCUUCCUCUAAUUUAUGCACAACAAUUGUUUGAGAAAAGUCUUGAACGUGCUAACUCAGCUAUUUCAUUUGACCCAGCGAUUAAUAACUUGGUGAGUUAGCAGCUGAAAUCGGCGAUUUGAGUCGUUUAUUUAGUGACUCGGUGAUUUGAAGGACUAUACAAUCCACUUAACUAUCUACGUGGAAGAUAACUUUCCGUUGGACGUAACGGUCAAAAGAGGGGUACAUCUGUAAAAUCCAAAAAAACGGGGUACAUUUGAAGACGCACGUAAAAAACAGGGAUACAUUUGUACUUCACCCUUGAUGAUAUCGCUUGGCUGCCAUUGACAAAGAAUCAUAACAGCGGACAUAACAUGAUACGGAGUAUCAUCUUUUCUUUAGCAGCAAAGACGGAAGAGAAAGAUGGUGGCACAAAUUGGAUUUACUCUCUAGUAGAAGAUAACUGUAUUGCUUAUACGGAUUAGAUUUUAGGGUUUAUUUGUUACCCUUGAUUUCAGUUUUAUUAUUUCAUUUAACGGUUCAUCUAGGCAUUUGACUGACCGUAAUUGCUGGCCAACAGACGGCUGUGAUAAGCGAUUGGUACAUGUGGAAGAUUCUAAAAGGUAUGAUCUUCUUCUUAGUGUGAUAAGUGCUAGGUAAACCUAGAACCUUUUGAUGGAGCCGAAAGCCAAAGGCACCCAAACAUUUCAAUUGGGCACAUGCACCAGGUGUGUGGGUUUUGGACUUGUUGCCUAAUGACUAGUGAUUAGUUUUGGAGCAUGCAUUUCUCUAUAACGUCAAAAGAGCUAAACCAGUUACCUAAUCCUUACCAUCAAAGAAACCCGAAUGAAAAUAACUCAAAAACAUGAACACACAGUGUCCACCAUAUCUUCAAGCUAUAUGCCAGUUGAAAGAAGAUUGGAAAGCAUUCAAGAAAAAGAUGUUCAUCGGGGAUGCAACAAUAAUCAGAGGAAGUUGCUGUCGUUAUAACUACCGCAGGUUUUGAAGCUAAGAAGAAUAGUAUGACGGAUGUCUAAGAGAAGUUCUUUUAUGAGUGAAAGAUGAAUAUUACAUUUGAAUCAUUUGAUAGAUAAUGAAACAAUGAUAUCUUUGUUUU